Molecule: ribosomal RNA, 468 nt
Filed under: uncultured bacterium
Lineage: Bacteria
Description: bacterial SSU rRNA
Rfam family: Bacterial small subunit ribosomal RNA
Source: RNAcentral
AACGAACGCUGGCGGCGUGCUUAACACAUGCAAGUCGAACGCGAACGAGUUCUUCGGAACUUUAGUAGAGUGGCGCACGGGUGAGUAACGCGUAAGUAAUCUACCCUCGCAUUUGGGAUAACCCACCGAAAGGUGUGCUAAUACCGGAUACGUUGGAUUUAUCCAAGAAAGGUGGCCUCUUCAUGAAAGCUACUGUGCUGGGAGGAGCUUGCGUACCAUUAGCUAGUUGGUAGGGUAAUGGCCUACCAAGGCGACGAUGGUUAGCGGGUCUGAGAGGAUGAUCCGCCGCACUGGAACUGGAACACGGACCAGACUCCUACGGGAGGCAGCAGUGAGGAAUAUUGCGCAAUGGGGGCAACCCUGACGCAGCGACGCCGCGUGGAUGAUGAAGGCCUUCGGGUCGUAAAAUCCUGUCAGAUGGAAAGAAAUGUAUAGUGGUUAAUACCCAUUAUAUUUGACGGUACCAUC